This 446-nucleotide ribosomal RNA is filed under the name uncultured bacterium. Its description in RNAcentral is "partial 16S ribosomal RNA". It matches the Rfam family "Bacterial small subunit ribosomal RNA", at positions 338 to 795 of the family's 1533-position model. The record is from RNAcentral.
CCUACGGGUGACAGCAGUCGAGAAUCAUUCACAAUGGGGGAAACCCUGAUGGUGCGACGCCGCGUGGGGGAAUGAAGGUCUUCGGAUUGUAAACCCCUGUCAUGUGGGAGCAAAUUAAAAAGAUAGUACCACAAGAGGAAGAGACGGCUAACUCUGUGCCAGCAACCGCGGUAAUACAGAGGUCUCAAGCGUUGUUCGGAAUCACUGGGCGUAAGGCGUGCGUAGGCUGUUUCGUAAGUCGUGUGUGAAAGGCGCGGGCUCAACCCGCGGACGGCACAUGAUACUGCGAGACUAGAGUAAUGGAGGGGGAACCGGAAUUCUCGGUGUAGCAGUGAAAUGCGUAGAUAUCGAGAGGAACACUCGUGGCGAAGGCGGGUUCCUGGACAUUAACUGACGCUGAGGCACGAAGGCCAGGGGAGCGAAAGGGAUUAGAUACCCGGGUAGUC